Molecule: ribosomal RNA, 383 nt
Filed under: uncultured delta proteobacterium
Lineage: Bacteria; Deltaproteobacteria
Description: bacterial SSU rRNA
Rfam family: Bacterial small subunit ribosomal RNA
Source: RNAcentral
GCCCUUAUGGCUGUCGUCAGCUUCGUGCCGUGAGGUGUUGGGUUAAGUCCCGCAACGAGCGCAACCCCUAUUGUUAGUUGCCAUCACAUAAUGGUGGGCACUCUAAUGAGACUGCCCGGGUCAACCGGGAGGAAGGUGGGGACGACGUCAAGUCAUCAUGGCCCUUACGCCUAGGGCUACACACGUACUACAAUGGUGCAUACAAAGGGUUGCGAAACCGCGAGGUCAAGCCAAUCCCAAAAAAUGCAUCCCAGUCCGGAUCGGAGUCUGCAACUCGACUCCGUGAAGUUGGAAUCGCUAGUAAUCCCGGAUCAGCAUGCCGGGCUGAAUACGUUCCCGGGCCUUGUACACACCGCCCGUCACACCACGGCGCUGUUCUACCC